UACAUGGGGGGCAAGCGUUGUUCGGAAUUACUGGGCGUAAAGGGCUCGUAGGCGGCCCACUAAGUCACAGGUGAAAUCCCCAGGCUUAACCUGGGAACUGCGUGUGAUACUGGAUGGCUUGAAUUCGGGAGAGGGAUGCAGAAUUCCAGGUGUAGCGGUGAAAUGCGUAGAUAUCUGGAGGAACACCGGUGGCGAAGGCGGCAUCCUGGACCGACACUGACGCUGAGGAGCGAAAGCUAGGGGAGCAAACGGG
Molecule: ribosomal RNA, 253 nt
Filed under: uncultured bacterium
Lineage: Bacteria
Description: partial 16S ribosomal RNA
Rfam family: Bacterial small subunit ribosomal RNA
Source: RNAcentral